This 433-nucleotide ribosomal RNA is filed under the name uncultured bacterium. RNAcentral's name for it is "partial 16S ribosomal RNA". It matches the Rfam family "Bacterial small subunit ribosomal RNA", at positions 29 to 507 of the family's 1533-position model. The record is from RNAcentral.
AGCGAACGCUGGCGGCAGGCUUAACACAUGCAAGUCGAGCGGGCACUUCGGUGUCAGCGGCAGACGGGUGAGUAACACGUGGGAACGUACACUUCGGUUCGGAAUAACGCUGGGAAACUAGCGCUAAUACCGGAUACGCCCUUUUGGGGAAAGGUUUACUGCCGAAGGAUCGGCCCGCGUCUGAUUAGCUAGUUGGUGGGGUAAUGGCCUACCAAGGCGACGAUCAGUAGCUGGUCUGAGAGGAUGAUCAGCCACACUGGGACUGAGACACGGCCCAGACUCCUACGGGAGGCAGCAGUGGGGAAUAUUGGACAAUGGGCGCAAGCCUGAUCCAGCCAUGCCGCGUGAGUGAUGAAGGCCUUAGGGUUGUAAAGCUCUUUUGUCCGGGACGAUAAUGACGGUACCGGAAGAAUAAGCCCCGGCUAACUUCGUG